AAAAAAUAUAUAUAUAUAUAUACACACACACACACACACACACACACACACGGAUCAGGAUUCAAAUGUACUAACGUGAUACAAGGCCUAUCACUUUUUAACUUCACCAUACUGUAUUUUCAGUCAUUUUAACAUACACAGCUAAUGAAUAUCUAUCUUAUUUGCACACUUAGGAUAAUAACAGAAAUUAAAAGUUGAACAUAUGCAGUUUAUUUUGUCCAAAAUAUAAUUGUUGUUUCUCUGUGUUGGGAAAGGCUGUCUCCUGCAUGCAGUCCUGUGUGUGGACUCCAUUGGACCACAGAAGAAUGAGCCUUCAACCCGAACACUUCCUUACCAACAGAUAAAGAGCCUUCACAGCAUGUGCCGGGUUUAUCGCCUGGUAUGGGAAUAUCUUUUCCUGUUUCAGACUCUGUAUACUCCUUUAAUCUGCUUAAGCUCAUAUGUCAAUGGCCCUCAGACACACCUCCAGCUUUCUGUAUUUCAGACUGCAUGGGAAGGGGGAGGGGUCCCUCUAUUGCAGCACAAAGUGGGGUGGGUGCAGCUAACUCCCCACAUAGCAUAGCUGUGAAGUGGAUCCAGUGGCCCUGAGGGACCAACACAAUGUAAGGAGCUGGACCUUGUGCACUCUUGCUCCUCUCUUGCUGUGAGUAAACACUGUAUGGCUUGAGUCCAGCAUGUGUGUUUUCUGUAUCACAACCUCGGGUCGUGCAUUGGUCUCUUCCCUGGAAGGCACUUUUUAUCUGUCUUCUAACCUUGGCAGCACAGCCCGGCCAUCCAGUGAAUGAUGAAAUACUUAGCACUUGUUGUCAUAGUAGGUAAUUUUGUGAAUUCAAAUAAAUAAUCAGCUAAUAAAAUUGGCUUCAAAAUACUCUUGGAUUGGAGAAUUGAAAAGGCACAUUUCACUCAAGGCAUCUUUGCCCCUGGGCUGUAACUUAAAAUACCUCUUUGAUUUCAGGCCUCCUUAUCUAACUUCUGCUCAGUCACCUCUGCAUUCUACCUGUAGAAAAGUGACUCAACAUCAUUCCAGAAGUCCGGAAUUCUACAAGAAUCAUCUGAUGUCAAAAAUAACUGAGAACAAUCUGAACAGGAGAGGAAGAUAGAAGUAACUAUGAAAGAUUACAGAGAUUAGAAAGAGCCACUGUACUUGAAAGAAAGCAAUCAUCUCUGAGAGCUCUUCAAUUACAACGAAAUUGUCAGCUAGAUAGAAGGAAUUAAUACUAGUGUUUGAUACCACCUUACGAUGACUAUAGCUUUUCUCGGAGUUGAAAGUGAUAACACACCACCACAUGGUCAAGUGAAUCAUAACCUGCUGGGGCUUGAGGUAUGGAAGACGAACAGUGGAGGAAAAGGUAUCUUCCAGCCUGGUGAAAUGCCGUGGAAAUGUGAGGCCAUUUAUUUUUUCUAAAUGCCCCAGCAACAGCUCUCAUUCACUUGCAGAAGCAAGAGCUGUUCUGACUACUCACAGUAUAUGGUGAGAUCUUUAUUUCUUUGCCUUUUUUUUUACUGUGAGUUUCCUUUUUUGUCAUCAUUGACCUUAUAAUGAAUCACUGCACUGUCUGAGUAAUGAGGCUGCAGUAGAUAAGGUCUCCUGAGAAUAUGAAGGAAGAAGUAUGUUCAGCAACUGAUUACUGACUUAUCCACCUGAUUAUAGUGACCAAUCUACUCAUAUAUCUGAUUUCAAAUGCCCAAUACAAUGUUAAUAAUCUUAUUAAAACUUCUUUGCAGUAAAAAUCAAACUUCUUUGGUUGAUGUUUUUUCUUAAAUUUUUAAAUUCUAAGUAGAGCAGUAGUUUUAAGAUUGCACAAUACAAAUAUUUUAGUGAUGCUUCUGGAAAUCCAUCUAGCAACUUGUUAUUUACAAUAUACUAUUAGUAGUACAUUAUAAAUAACUGAAAUCUAAAACAUAAUUCAUAAGGAAUA
This 1919-nucleotide long non-coding RNA is filed under the name Homo sapiens (human). RNAcentral's name for it is "HSALNT0373841". The record is from RNAcentral. Lineage: Eukaryota; Metazoa; Chordata; Mammalia; Primates; Hominidae.